RNAcentral lists this ribosomal RNA (491 nucleotides) under uncultured bacterium. RNAcentral describes it as "partial 16S ribosomal RNA". It matches the Rfam family "Bacterial small subunit ribosomal RNA", at positions 29 to 506 of the family's 1533-position model. The record is from RNAcentral.
AGUGAACGCUGGCGGUAGGCCUAACACAUGCAAGUCGAACGGCAGCACAGUAAGAGCUUGCUCUUACGGGUGGCGAGUGGCGGACGGGUGAGGAAUACAUCGGAAUCUACUUUUUCGUGGGGGAUAACGUAGGGAAACUUACGCUAAUACCGCAUACGACCUACGGGUGAAAGCAGGGGAUCUUCGGACCUUGCGCGAUUGAAUGAGCCGAUGUCGGAUUAGCUAGUUGGCCGGGUAAAGGCCCACCAAGGCGACGAUCCGUAGCUGGUCUGAGAGGAUGAUCAGCCACACUGGAACUGAGACACGGUCCAGACUCCUACGGGAGGCAGCAGUGGGGAAUAUUGGACAAUGGGCGCAAGCCUGAUCCAGCCAUACCGCGUGGGUGAAGAAGGCCUUCGGGUUGUAAAGCCCUUUUGUUGGGAAAGAAAAGCAGCAGGUUAAGACCCCGCUGUUCUGACGGUACCCAAAGAAUAAGCACCGGCUAACUUCGU